RNAcentral lists this ribosomal RNA (484 nucleotides) under uncultured bacterium. RNAcentral describes it as "partial 16S ribosomal RNA". It matches the Rfam family "Bacterial small subunit ribosomal RNA", at positions 30 to 507 of the family's 1533-position model. The record is from RNAcentral.
AUUGAACGCUGGCGGCAGGCCUAACACAUGCAAGUCGAGCGGAUGAAGGGAGCUUGCUCCUGGAUUCAGCGGCGGACGGGUGAGUAAUGCCUAGGAAUCUGCCUGGUAGUGGGGGAUAACGUCCGGAAACGGGCGCUAAUACCGCAUACGUCCUGAUGGAGAAAGUGGGGGAUCUUCGGACCUCACGCUAUCAGAUGAGCCUAGGUCGGAUUAGCUAGUUGGUGGGGUAAAGGCCUACCAAGGCGACGAUCCGUAACUGGUCUGAGAGGAUGAUCAGUCACACUGGAACUGAGACGCGGUCCAGACUCCUACGGGAGGCAGCAGUGGAGAAUAUUGGACGAUGGGCGAAAGCCUGAUCCAGCCAUGCCGCGUGUGUGAAGAAGGUCUUCGGAUUGUAAAGCACUUUAAGUUGGGAGGAAGGGCAGUAAGUUAAUACCUUGCUGUUUUGACGGUACCAACAGAAUAAGCACCGGCUAACUUCGUG